Paramuricea clavata is the source of this 209-nucleotide non-coding RNA. Lineage: Eukaryota; Metazoa; Cnidaria; Anthozoa; Malacalcyonacea; Plexauridae. The record is from the annotation of a GenBank genome assembly.
CGUUAUUCACUUCUUUGGCGGGUUAUACCAGGACUACGUUAGAAACACUGGUUUACAAUAGUCAAUACAGAAUACAGGUUAGCAGAAUAACAAAAUAAACUUGAUAAAAUCCACACAAGUUAGCCUUUCAAGUUGGUCCUUUCGACAGCAAGUCGCAGCUCUUAACUCAACUAGAUUAAUAUAUGCAGCGUGCGUAUACCGUGCGAGGG